Molecule: ribosomal RNA, 221 nt
Filed under: uncultured bacterium
Lineage: Bacteria
Description: partial 16S ribosomal RNA
Rfam family: Bacterial small subunit ribosomal RNA
Source: RNAcentral
CCUGCAUGAAGUUGGAAUCGCUAGUAAUCGCGGAUCAGCACGCCGCGGUGAAUACGUUCCCGGGCCUUGUACACACCGCCCGUCACAUCACGAAAGCCGGCUGUACUAGAAGUCGCCGAGCUAACCCGCAAGGGAAGCAAGCGCCUAAGGUAUGGUCGGUGAUUGGGGUGAAGUCGUAACAAGGUAGCUGUAGGAGAACCUGUGGCUGGAUCACCUCCUUU